GAUGGCCAAAAAAAAACGUGAGCUACCUACCAAGUUGGUGGAUUCAAAAUUUCCUCGUUAAGUACACGUAAAGUAUUUCGUCGUAAAGAACUCGCGAAGUUUACUUGGUAUUUACGAGGAAAUAGUGUUUCCUCGUAAAAGCCACGUCAAUUUACAUCGUCUUUACGACGAAAUUGUUUUGUCGUUACCUUACGACGAAAUAACG
This 205-nucleotide long non-coding RNA is filed under the name Brassica rapa (field mustard). RNAcentral describes it as "long non-coding RNA (BRAP_LNC007021)". Lineage: Eukaryota; Viridiplantae; Streptophyta; Magnoliopsida; Brassicales; Brassicaceae. The record is from RNAcentral.